CUAGAUAGCUCAGUCGGUAGAGCAGAGGACUGAAAAUCCUCGUGUCGCUGGUUCGAUUCCGGCUCUAGG
RNAcentral lists this transfer RNA (69 nucleotides) under uncultured Lachnospira sp. It matches the Rfam family "tRNA". From Rfam's summary of the family: Transfer RNA (tRNA) molecules are approximately 80 nucleotides in length. Their secondary structure includes four short double-helical elements and three loops (D, anti-codon, and T loops). Lineage: Bacteria; Bacillati; Bacillota; Clostridia; Lachnospirales; Lachnospiraceae. The record is from RNAcentral.